AGAAUCAACGCUGGCGGCGUGCCUAACACAUGCAAGUCGCACGAGAAAGGGUAGCAAUACCUGAGUAAAGUGGCGCACGGGUGAGUAACACGUGACUAACCUACCCUUGAGUGGGGGAUAACCUAGGGAAACCUGGGCUAAUACCGCAUAAUACCUUCGGGUCAAAGGAGCAAUUCGCUUAAGGAGGGGGUCGCGGCCGAUUAGUUAGUUGGCGGGGUAAUGGCCCACCAAGACUGUGAUCGGUAUCC
This 248-nucleotide ribosomal RNA is filed under the name uncultured bacterium. RNAcentral's name for it is "partial small subunit ribosomal RNA". It matches the Rfam family "Bacterial small subunit ribosomal RNA", at positions 26 to 288 of the family's 1533-position model. The record is from RNAcentral.